This 651-nucleotide ribosomal RNA is filed under the name Streptomyces wadayamensis. RNAcentral's name for it is "bacterial SSU rRNA". It matches the Rfam family "Bacterial small subunit ribosomal RNA", at positions 874 to 1513 of the family's 1533-position model. The record is from RNAcentral. Lineage: Bacteria; Bacillati; Actinomycetota; Actinomycetes; Kitasatosporales; Streptomycetaceae.
UAGUUGCGCAUCAGUGCGUCGCAGUAGCAUAGUGCCCGCUGGAGUACGCGCAGCUAACUCAAGAUUCGGGCCAACGCGAGCAUGGCUUAUUCGAGCGCAAGCGAAGACCUACAGGCUGACAUACCCGAAACCUGAGACAGGUCCCCUUGUGGUCGGUGUACAGGUGGUGCAUGGCUGUCGUCAGCUCGUGUCGUGAGAUGUUGGGUUAAGUCCCGCAACGAGCGCAACCCUUGUCCCGUGUUGCCAGCAGGCCCUUGUGGUGCUGGGGACUCACGGGAGACCGCCGGGGUCAACUCGGAGGAAGGUGGGGACGACGUCAAGUCAUCAUGCCCCUUAUGUCUUGGGCUGCACACGUGCUACAAUGGCCGGUACAAUGAGCUGCGAUACCGCGAGGUGGAGCGAAUCUCAAAAAGCCGGUCUCAGUUCGGAUUGGGGUCUGCAACUCGACCCCAUGAAGUCGGAGUCGCUAGUAAUCGCAGAUCAGCAUUGCUGCGGUGAAUACGUUCCCGGGCCUUGUACACACCGCCCGUCACGUCACGAAAGUCGGUAACACCCGAAGCCGGUGGCCCAACCCCUUGUGGGAGGGAGCUGUCGAAGGUGGGACUGGCGAUUGGGACGAAGUCGUAGCAAGGUAGCCGUACGGAUUCAAGU